Diaporthe citri is the source of this 105-nucleotide non-coding RNA. NCBI's taxonomy places the organism in Eukaryota, Fungi, Ascomycota, Sordariomycetes, Diaporthales, Diaporthaceae. The record is from the annotation of a RefSeq genome assembly.
GGGCGUCUAGCUCAAAUGGUAGAGCGCGCGCUUAGCAUCAACAUUCUCUUCUGAGAUGAGUAAUCAACAUGCGCGAGGUACACGGUUCGAUCCCGUGGUCGUCCA